AGCAGCCGCGGUAAUUCCAGCUCCAAUAGCGUAUAUUAAAGUUGUUGCAGUUAAAAAGCUCGUAGUUGAAUUUCGGGGUUAGUAGGUCGGUCGUGCCACUGGUAUGUACUGGUCUCACUGAUUCCUCCUUCCUGAUGAACCGUAAUGCCAUUAAUUUGGUGUUGCGGGGAGACUGGACUGUUACUUUGAAAAAAUUAGAGUGUUUAAAGCAGGCUAACGCUUGAAUACAUUAGCAUGGAAUAACGGAAUAGGACGUUCGAUCUUAUUUUGUUGGUUUCUAGGAUUGACGUAAUGAUUAAUAGGGAUAGUUGGGGGCAUUAGUAUUCAAUUGUCAGAGGUGAAAUUCUUGGAUUUAUUGAAGACUAACUACUGCGAAAGCAUUUGCCAAGGAUGUUUUCAUUAAUCAAGAACGAAAGUUAGGGGGUCGAAGACGAUCAGAUACCGUCGUAGUCUUAACCAUAAACUAUGCCGACUAGGGAUCGGAUGACGUUAAUUUU
Molecule: small RNA, 497 nt
Filed under: uncultured Glomus
Lineage: Eukaryota; Fungi; Glomeromycota; Glomeromycetes; Glomerales; Glomeraceae
Description: SSU rRNA
Rfam family: Eukaryotic small subunit ribosomal RNA
Source: RNAcentral